GUAAAAGGUGUAUUGUGUUAAUGUAAAUUGCUCAAGAAAUCACCGCAGCGAUGAGAAACGGCUCGUGAGUUGGGUUAAGAAACGUAAACGAUGUAACCGAUCGAUUAAGAGAUUGAAGGAGGAAUGAGAAUAUUCAUCAAUUACGGAAAGACGGAGAAAGGUCGCAAUGUGGAUUUCACUAUUUAUAAAACGUCCUUUAAAAACUGACUAUGUGACAGGACUUCCGGCAGGAGACCAGUAACAGAGGCCAUUGGAUAGGAAGGGCUAAACCGAAUGACGUUUCAUUCUAAACGAAGCCGCUAGAUAUCAUGUACCUGCAUGUAGAAACGCGACACGCAGUGCAAACUAAGAAUUUCCGAAACCUUAGUUUAACAUAUAUUACUGUAGUUUGUAAAAUGAAACUAUAAUUUUUUAAACAAAUUUAAGCAAUUACAUACAGGAAAUAAAAUAUUUUACAUUAUUAAGUAUUUAUGUGAACGUAUGUACAUAUGAUCUGUGUUAUCCGUCCCAAAUUCAAG
Long non-coding RNA from Ceratina calcarata, 518 nucleotides. RefSeq lists it as uncharacterized. NCBI's taxonomy places the organism in Eukaryota, Metazoa, Arthropoda, Insecta, Hymenoptera, Apidae. The record is from RefSeq and is a predicted model, not a curated record. The transcript is spliced from 3 exons.